GUGGGGAAUCUUGCGCAAUGCGCGAAAGCGUGACGCAGCAACGCCGCGUGAGGGAAGAAGGCCUUCGGGUUGUAAACCUCUUUCAGGAGGGACGAAGGUUCAGGCGCGAAUAGCGUCCUGGACUGACGGUACCUCCAGAAGAAGCCCCGGCUAACUACGUGCCAGCAGCCGCGGUAAUACGUAGGGGGCUAGCGUUGUCCGGAAUCAUUGGGCGUAAAGAGCGUGUAGGCGGCCUGGUAAGUCCGCUGUAAAAGUCAAAGGCUCAACCUUUGAAUGUCAGUGGAUACUGCCGGGCUAGAGUCCGGAAGAGGCGAGUGGAACUCCUGGUGUAGCGGUGGAAUGCGCAGAUAUCAGGAAGAACACCAACGGCGAAGGCAGCUCGCUAGGACGGUACUGACGCUGAGACGCGAAAGCGUGGGGAGCGAACAGGAUUAGAAACCCUAGUAGUCC
This 450-nucleotide ribosomal RNA is filed under the name uncultured bacterium. RNAcentral's name for it is "bacterial SSU rRNA". It matches the Rfam family "Bacterial small subunit ribosomal RNA", at positions 354 to 796 of the family's 1533-position model. The record is from RNAcentral.